AAAUCCGAAAGCCCUUCGAUCGCGAUCGAACCAUUGAAAAAUCAAGAAAAAGGGGCUACUAGAAGCUGGUUGAGGAGAGAGAAGGGUCUUCUUCUCCUCCUCCUUCCUUCUCCUUGAUGCUGACUCCCUCUCCCAUCUUCUCUUUGUUCCCCAGCCACCAGCCAUGAGAUCCGGUGAGUGAGAGCUCUAAACUCAAGCGCUUGAUGAGAUGAAUAACUUGGUGGUCAUGGUUCGCGCGACAAGGGCCUGGAUCGAGAGGAAGCUCGAUCAAUAGGAAUCAGCACCGCUGCGAUUCCAUUCUCCGGGCUUUUAUACGCCGAUUCUGGCGAAGAUAGGCCUUGGAGUGAGCUCGAAUCGAAUCCUGGUGAUGGGGAGAGUAUUUUCCCUAAGCCAAUUGAUGUGUGUAUCGGAAAAUGCUGAGGCCACCAUGAACGGCGGCGGGCUUAGCUGCUGCAGGCUUGAUUCCUGCCAAAUGGCUCAUCGGUUCUCUGAAGUGAUGCCAAAAUCGAACUCACCCCAAAUUUCAAGCAGAGUGGUGUAGGCCUCGUGAAGUUCCGGGACAUGAUUUUUCGGCGUUGUGCAGUGGGUCUCCGGCAAGACCUUGAGAGGCAGAAUUCCUCCUUGUCACAACGAUCAUGGUUCUGCAAUCCGAUUUUAAUUUGGUGAGCUCUAGGUCUUGAUAUCUUGUUUUCUCACUAUAUUUAAUUACAGUUAUUAAGUUAGUUCAGUUAAUUUAGUUAACAUAGAUUGACUCAUAUAAUACAAAUCGGGAUUUAAAUUAGUAUAAUUUAUUAAUACAGAAAUGAAGUACUUGUUAUGUUAGAUCCUAAUAUUGAAAAGUUGAGAAACUGAUUAAGUGGAGAAAUUACAUAAUUAUUGGUUGUGAAUUCUUAUCUAAUAUGUUUAUCUGACUUUGGUUAAUUUAAUGUUAAAAUUAUGGAUUAAAUUACAACUCUGUAGUUGAGCUAUGGUGAAACCAAAUUGAAUUUGGUAUUGUGCAAGGAUUAUAUUGUUGAUGAAUUGGUGUAUGAGAAUUAUAUGGUUGAUUCGCUCGAAGGAUGAGCCGUGUGAAUUGGAUGAAUAGAAAUAUUGAAUAAUUGAUAAUAUUGCUAUUGUUUAAGCAGGUAGAUAACCCUUUUUAGGGGAUAUGUUGCCAAACUUUCAGUAGCAGAAACCUAAACAAUGAGAUUAACUAACCUUAUUUUCAGUAAUUAGAAUUUAUGGAAAUUGCUUAACAAAAGACUUAUAAUGAACUUAGACUAGCGUAUUAUAGCACAUAUGAAUUUGGAUAAGUGAGUUAGGUGUUGAAACAAUGAUAAUGCUUGUGGAUUUAAUUGACAGGUGAUGAGACAUGUAGUUACGUGUAGUCAUUAUAACUGUAUUUAGUAAGUAAAGUUGUAAGUGAUGGAGGAUGGGAAUUGACUUGUGGUUGCUUGUCCAAUGGAUGGGCUGUGUUGGAUGUUGAUACAAAUUUAUGCAUUUUAUUGGUUAAAUGAGAAAAUUGAAAAUAUAGGAGUAAAUCCGGUUUUAGGGGAGAUUGUAACACCCCAAAAUUUUAGGUCUUAAAAUGGUAUUACUAUACCGGGUUAUAAAUGAUAUUGUCUGAUAGGAAAAUGAUAUUUAUUUGAUCCAAGAAGGAUAUUAAUAAUUAUGGAUUUAAUUAGACUUUAUAUUAAUCUUGAUUAAUUAAAUUUGAAAUAUGAAUUUCUUAUGGUCAAUUUUUAUUAAUAAAUAAUUUCAUAGGGGUAGUUUAGUAAUUUCACAUGUGUAGAGAUUUAAUUUAUUAAGAUAUGAUUUAUGCUCAUAUAGAUGAGUUAUGGUGCCAUAAAUUAUUUUAGUAAUUUUAAUUAUGUGGAGAAAUAAUUUAUGGCAUGAUAUGUAUAAAUAUAGAGUUUUUAUAAUGUGUAGUUAGACUCAGUAUAGUGUCUAAUUCUAGCCUUAGGAUGAGAGGAACCUAAAAUAAAUUCUGGCCUUCUAUCUAUAAGACUUUUGACCAAGUCAAUCUUGUCUCUACACAAUGGCAAGUUACCAUAUUGCCAUUAAUGAAUUAAUAUGAGUAUUUAGAUGAGAUUUUAAGAUCUAAUCGCCACCGUCCAUUUGGAGAAAUGACCAAAGUGCCUAAAACUCAUAUAAGAUCUAAAUAAUCAAAUGUGCUACAAACCAUCUUCUUCUUCAUCAAAACCCUAGCAAUCCAAACCCAAGCUCUCUUUCUCUCCCCUCAAUUUUUCUUCACAAUACCAUCAAAGACACCAUUUUUUAACAAGUUCAAACACAAAUAUUUAAGUACCUAAGCUAAGUAACUUCUUGCAUCAAAAUCCCGAAUUUUCACCAUUUGAAGGUUCUACCUCCAAGAAUAAGAGAAAAGAUGUGUUAGAGGCUAGUGUUUUGGAGGUUUGUGCUAUUUUUCCACCAUUUUAGAUAUUUUAGAAAUUUCUUAUUUGGUUUGAUGUUAUUAUGCAAGAAAAUGUAAUUUUUAUGUUACUUUUGCCUUGAUAUAUGCUUAAGUUGCAUUUUUUGAGCUUAAUAUGCUUUAUGCGGUAAUUUAUUUUUAGUGUCUAAUCCUAGUCCGAAAAUGUUGAGGUUGUCCUCCUUUUAUUUUUCCUGGUUUUCAUGUUAUUUUUAUAUUAUGGUGGAUAGCUUUUAUAAUUUUAUGGUAUAGAUGUAAUAUGAGCUUAUUUGUGCAAAAUGAGUAAUUUUUCCUUGUGUUUUGCAUUAGAUAUUUGAUCAUUUAGAGGGCUUUUCCUCUUUAUUUUUCAUGUUAAAAAUUAUUAUCUUGAUGACUAAAAUGAAAUAUAAUUGUGAUUUGAUGAUAAGAGUAUGGCAGAUGUUCAAAUUGAUGAGAAAAAUGCAUUUUGAUGUAUUUUUACUUGGAAUUAAGUGUGGGGCUGCUACCUCUCACUAUUUCAUAUUUAAUAUCUUAUUUUGAAUUAAUUAUUUAUGGUAAUGAAACAUAUAUUAAGGUGGGUCUCAAGUCUCAUGAAGUAUGAUUGGUGAUUUGAUGAUUUAAACGUGUUUUUAUGUUGAUGUGUUAAUUAAAAUGAACUUGGGGUGCAAAUAGUAUAUUUUAAUUUUAUGAUAUGUAAUGAAAAUGUUAAUGAUGUUAUAUGAUGUGAAUUAUAAGUCUAAUGUGAUUAUUAGUGAAUUAUGUGACAUAAUUAAAGUUAAAUGAUAAUUGGGUCAAACCCAUUAGGCUAAAGCCCAAUUAUAAAAUCUCAAGGAUAAAUUGGAUAUGUUCCAUUGACUCAUGACACAAUACCUAUGCCUUGAGGAGUUAAUAGAACAAAUGAAUGAUUUAAGGACUAAGUAUAAAAUUACUAUGGACUUGACUAUAAUUAGGAUGAUAAUUAACUAACAUUGAUGAUGAUAAUCAUUAGGACUUAAUUAAUUGACUACGUGUAGUAUAAUUAAUUGAUUAAAUGAUUAAAAAGGAUAUUUAGAUUAAUUAGGCGAGCUAAUGGUAAAUAAGGAAAAUAAUAUAAUUUUAUGGCUAUUAAGUUAAUAGGUAGCUAUUAGAACGAUUUAGUAGUUAAAAUAAAUUAGUGGAUUUAAUAAUCCUAAUUGGGUCAAUUAAUUUAUUAAUUGAUCAAUUUAAGUUUUAAUUAUGAGAAUAUAAUUAUGAGAAUAUAAGAGAAUAUGAAAAUUAUGGAUAAAUUAGGUGGUCAUUUGUCAUGUUGGAUUUAAUACAUUGUGAAUGUGCCGAAGUCUUGAAAAUUGUGUCAAUUAAUGAAAAAAAAAUGAUUAUGUGAACGCAUAGUAUAAUUGAUAAAUUAAUUGAAUGAUAUGAAUUUAAGUGCCAUGAUUGAAUAUUUUGUGAAAUAAAAUAUUCUUUAUGUGCAUGAUAUGAAUUUAUGUAGUUAUAUAUGAAUUAUGAGAUUUUAAGUAUGGUUAUGUACUUAAUAUGUGAUUUUAUGGAAUUGAAAUUAUGAUGAAAUAUUUAGUAUGGAAAAAUAUGAUUUUUAUGAAAAAAUGAAAUUUAUGAAAGAGAACAUUUUUCAGUUUGUAAGAAAAGAUUCCGGUGUAUUUAUGAGACAGUAAAUUCUAAAUGUUGAUAUGUGAAUUAAGAAAUGAAUUAAAUAUAAUAAAUCUUUUAUCAGUCCUAGUUCACUUGGUCAAGUCAGUAGUAGUAUAGAGGUAUGAUAU
This is a long non-coding RNA of Jatropha curcas, 4140 nucleotides long. RefSeq lists it as uncharacterized. NCBI's taxonomy places the organism in Eukaryota, Viridiplantae, Streptophyta, Magnoliopsida, Malpighiales, Euphorbiaceae. The record is from RefSeq and is a predicted model, not a curated record.